Molecule: unclassified non-coding RNA, 416 nt
Filed under: Hevea brasiliensis (rubber tree)
Lineage: Eukaryota; Viridiplantae; Streptophyta; Magnoliopsida; Malpighiales; Euphorbiaceae
Source: RNAcentral
AAAUAUAAAACAGGUAGUUAAGCAGAAAAUAGAUCCAUUAAGCCAAAAAAUAAUGAAAUUAAACAAAAUACGAAACAACAUGAAUCAAAAGGAUUUUCAUCAAAUUUAUCAACACUAAAGCUUUCUUUUUUUUUAUUUUUGGGUUUUGAUACAACUCCAAUCCCACGAUCAAGCAAGCAUUGAAUCGAAUUCAAAAACAACUUGUUGCUGAGAUUUGGAAUAUCAGAGGAGAUUCAAAAAGGCACGCCCCUGGAGAAAAUAUAAUGCAGAUACCUUCAAAGGCACAAUUGGAAUGUAGAAACCCUAAUUUGUUUUCCUCCUCUCUCUGUCUCCUCCAACUGAGAAAGCAAGUGAUGGAAUUAUAGAGAAAAUUUUGGUUCCAACUCCUGAUGCGAAUGUUCUUCCUUUGAUCUUUA